GUUGGGUGUCGUGGCCCAAGCCUGUUGUCCCAGCUGCUCGGGAGGUUGAGGUGGGAGGAUCCCUUGAGCCCAGGAGUUCUGGGCAGCAGUGAACCAUAAUUGUUCCACUGCACCCCAGCCUGGGCAACAAAGUGAGAUCUCAUCUCUA
RNAcentral lists this signal recognition particle RNA (148 nucleotides) under Nomascus leucogenys (northern white-cheeked gibbon). Its description in RNAcentral is "Metazoan signal recognition particle RNA". It matches the Rfam family "Metazoan signal recognition particle RNA". From Rfam's summary of the family: The signal recognition particle (SRP) is a universally conserved ribonucleoprotein. It is involved in the co-translational targeting of proteins to membranes. The eukaryotic SRP consists of a 300-nucleotide 7S RNA and six proteins: SRPs 72, 68, 54, 19, 14, and 9. Lineage: Eukaryota; Metazoa; Chordata; Mammalia; Primates; Hylobatidae. The record is from Rfam by way of RNAcentral.